This 375-nucleotide ribosomal RNA is filed under the name uncultured soil bacterium. RNAcentral describes it as "bacterial SSU rRNA". It matches the Rfam family "Bacterial small subunit ribosomal RNA", at positions 26 to 404 of the family's 1533-position model. The record is from RNAcentral.
AGAUUGAACGCUGGCGGCAUGCUUUACGCAUGCAAGUCGAACGGUAACAGGCCGCAAGGUGCUGACGAGUGGCGAACGGGUGAGUAAUGCAUCGGAACGUGCCCAGUCGUGGGGGAUAACGCAGCGAAAGCUGUGCUAAUACCGCAUACGAUCUAUGGAUGAAAGCGGGGGACCGAAAGGCCUCGCGCGAUUGGAGCGGCCGAUGUCAGAUUAGCUAGUUGGUGGGUAAAGGCCCACCAAGGCGACGAUCUGUAGCUGGUCUGAGAGGACGACCAGCCACACUGGAACUGAGACACGGUCCAGACUCCUACGGGAGCAGCAGUAGGGGAAUUUUGGACAAGUAGGGGAAACCCGUGAUCCAGCCAUCCCGCGUGU